RNAcentral lists this ribosomal RNA (71 nucleotides) under Thunbergia fragrans. Its description in RNAcentral is "partial 5.8S ribosomal RNA". Lineage: Eukaryota; Viridiplantae; Streptophyta; Magnoliopsida; Lamiales; Acanthaceae. The record is from RNAcentral.
ACCCACUCGAGUUUGAAGUCAAGUUGCGCCCGAAGCCUUAGGCCGAGGGCACGUCUGCCUGGGCGUCACGC